UCUGGAGACAGGUGCUGCAUGGCUGUCGUCAGCUCGUGUCGUGAGAUGUUGGGUUAAGUCCCGCAACGAGCGCAACCCUUGCCUUUAGUUGCCAGCAGUUCGGCUGGGCACUCUAAAGGGACUGCCGGUGUUAAACCGGAGGAAGGUGGGGAUGACGUCAAGUCCUCAUGGCCUUUAUGACCAGGGCUACACACGUACUACAAUGGCCGAUACAAAGGGCAGCGACACUGCGAGGUGAAGCCAAUCCCGUAAAAUCGGUCUCAGUCCGGAUUGGAGUCUGCAACUCGACUCCAUGAAGUUGGAAUCGCUAGUAAUCGUGGAUCAGCAUGCCACGGUGAAUACGUUCCCGGGCCUC
This 355-nucleotide ribosomal RNA is filed under the name uncultured Desulfobulbus sp. RNAcentral's name for it is "bacterial SSU rRNA". It matches the Rfam family "Bacterial small subunit ribosomal RNA", at positions 1027 to 1381 of the family's 1533-position model. Lineage: Bacteria; Pseudomonadati; Thermodesulfobacteriota; Desulfobulbia; Desulfobulbales; Desulfobulbaceae. The record is from RNAcentral.